Molecule: long non-coding RNA, 144 nt
Organism: Arachis stenosperma
Lineage: Eukaryota; Viridiplantae; Streptophyta; Magnoliopsida; Fabales; Fabaceae
Exons: 3
Source: RefSeq, a predicted model, not a curated record
GGUGGAAGCAUUGCUUUUGCAGUUAUUCUUGUUAUUGUUGUUACAGCUAUAAGUGAUUAUAAGCAGUCUCUUCAGUUUCGGGACCUAAAUGAGGAGAAGAGAAACAUUCGUUUGGAGGUAAUUAGAGGAGGUAGAAGAGUUGAG